This 219-nucleotide long non-coding RNA is filed under the name Capsicum annuum. RNAcentral describes it as "long non-coding RNA (CANN_LNC002270)". Lineage: Eukaryota; Viridiplantae; Streptophyta; Magnoliopsida; Solanales; Solanaceae. The record is from RNAcentral.
UUGUUUCACUUUACUUGUUCAAUUUAUGAAAUCAUGAGAAUCUUAGUAUAUUUUUCCCUUUCUAUUCUUUGGAUUAAAUAACUAGUUGAAAUCAAAUUUAGAAUUUCAAAAUGUCAUUAAUAAAGUAAGAUUAGUUUAGUAAAAUAUACAUCUAACUAAAAUUUUCAGGCAUGCAAAUUUAAAUUGUCCAUUUAUCAACUCAGCUCAUUUUAACCCGCC